UUCCUGGAGGGCUAGUGGUUAGGCCUCAGCACUCUCACCACUGUUGCCCGGGUUAGAUUCCCAGCCAGGUGA
This 72-nucleotide transfer RNA is filed under the name Pangasius djambal. Its description in RNAcentral is "tRNA-Glu". Lineage: Eukaryota; Metazoa; Chordata; Actinopteri; Siluriformes; Pangasiidae. The record is from RNAcentral.